UAGGGAAUAUUGGGCAAUGGGCGAGAGCCUGACCCAGCCAUGCCGCGUGCAGGAUGAAGGCUUUCUGAGUCGUAAACUGCUUUUGACAGGGAAGAAUAAGCUGGUCGUGACCAGUGAUGACGGUACCUGCAGAAUAAGCACCGGCUAACUCCGUGCCAGCAGCCGCGGUAAUACGGAGGGUGCGAGCGUUGUCCGGAUUUAUUGGGUUUAAAGGGUGCGUAGGCGGUCGAUUAAGUCUGGGGUGAAAGCCCGCUGCUCAACAGCGGAACUGCCCUGGAUACUGGUUGACUUGAGUACAGACGAGGUUGGCGGAAUGGACUGAGUAGCGGUGAAAUGCAUAGAUACAGUCCAGAACCCCGAUUGCGAAGGCAGCUGACUAGGCUGUUACUGACGCUGAGGCACGAAAGCGUGGGGAGCGAACA
RNAcentral lists this ribosomal RNA (422 nucleotides) under uncultured Hymenobacter sp. Its description in RNAcentral is "bacterial SSU rRNA". It matches the Rfam family "Bacterial small subunit ribosomal RNA", at positions 355 to 774 of the family's 1533-position model. The record is from RNAcentral. Lineage: Bacteria; Pseudomonadati; Bacteroidota; Cytophagia; Cytophagales; Hymenobacteraceae.